Molecule: unclassified non-coding RNA, 368 nt
Filed under: Hevea brasiliensis (rubber tree)
Lineage: Eukaryota; Viridiplantae; Streptophyta; Magnoliopsida; Malpighiales; Euphorbiaceae
Source: RNAcentral
GCGGAGCCUCCACCUACUGUGGAUCCAGCCAAUAUCAUAGUUUUCGCAUUUAGAGUUGAUAGAAUUCCGCCAGACUCAUAAAGUUCAGCCAUGGAAGGCCCUUCGAAUGAAGAAUAAUCUUCUGGCACAUAGUAGUUCCCUUUCUCUAGGACGAGUACUUUCUGGCCUGAGCUUGCAAGCACUGCAGCUGCAACCCCUCCACCACAACCAGAACCAACAAUUACAGCAUCACAUUUGAUCUUGCAGGUGUUGUGCUCUGGAUCUUCAAUGACUUGGAGGCCUUUCUGGAUGAGAGAUGGGACAAGACUUGAGUCAUCUUCAUUUGCAAGUUCUAUGAUCCCCUUUUGAAGAGGUCUCUCCUCUUUGUU